GAGGAGGAGGAAGAGGAGAAGGAGGAGGAAGAGGAGGAGGAGGAAAGGGGAUCCCUCCUGAGAUCCUCCAGGCCUUUAUCAGCUGGGGCCAUUGCUAUCAGCGCUGUUGUUGGCUCAGGCCCACAAGCAAAAUUGCCCAACCUAGCACUGGACAGUUGUUUGUCCUGGCUACAGUCAGGUAGCCUUGGCAGGAUUGGCCACCUCCGAGAAGUCUGUUGGCUUUGACAGAGGAGAGGUGGGUGGGGAGGGGGUUGGGGGCUCUGGGAGGCUGAGCCCCUGGCAGCCAGACUAGGUCCCAGGCCCGUUCCUCACCACCCCUACAGUCUUUUCUUCUGUCCUCUCUCUCGCUCUCCUCCUCAUUCCCACCUUCUAUCUUAUCCCUCGCUUGGAGUGCUGGGGAAGAUAAUGAGACAGUAUGAAAAAGCCUCUGUCCAGGGGCACAUGAGUCUGCUGGGGGAGAUAAGGCAGCGGAAUGGAGAAUGGAAGGUCACCGUGGAGGGCAGUCAUCGUAGGGGGGAUUCCAGAGGAGGGGAGGCCGGAGCUGGGUCCCAGAGGCUGGGAAUGACGUGGGAGAGCUAGAGCGGAGUCGGUGAGGGCCAAAGCUCUCCGAGGGUAACCAUGUUCCCGAGGGUCCGCUUCCCUUGCGCUGCUCCCCUCCCCCUAUUUCAUUACCCAGAGAGCCUUGUUACCUCAGUGGGAACUGGAGAGGAAGACAGGCCCACCUGGCUCUGGUCACUGGACGGUUUAGCUAGCGUGCCAAUGGGAGAGCGAGAGGAGGCUGCGGUGGCUCUGCGCCAGGGCUUCGGGGUCAGUGACAUCUGGAUUCUGAGGUAAGCACAAACACCAGCCCGGCCGAAGGUCGCCACUGGCCACCUGGUUAUCUCUCCACAGGGCGCUCUUAUCUCCGGAUCUGUGAAAGGAGACCGCUCGCUCAACGGGGAGGGUUCCAAAUUUCCUUCCAGCCCUAAUAUUCUCGUUUCCUCUCUGUUGUUGUGGAGAAUGAGAUGAUUUCUGUAAAAGGGCCUUAGUAAAUCCACACUCCCCACCCCGCCUCCGGCCACCCCAGAAGCAGAAGGGAAUUCAGAAAUUCAGAGAUCUAGUGUGAUCUCAUCUUACAGGAUUUGGGGGCAGAAAUGGAUGCAGACCCUGAUAUAACUGUUUCCCAGCUCUCUGGGCUAGGCCCUUCUCCUGCUGGGACUUCAGUAUCCUCAGAGGCAGCUUUUUCGGGAAAAUGUUCCUGAAGGUUUUGAUACACCUGGUCUGUCCUGGAGAGUUGGCUUUGAUGCCCACCCCCAGUGCCCGCUGAAACCACCCUUUUCUUCUUAUUUCUCUAGACAACUAACUAUUCCCUUGUGAAUAAAUACUUCCAAAAAUGUACGCUUGCAGCCUGUUGUGUUUAAUGGCAAAGGAGAAGAAAUGAAAGAGGGAAGUGGGUGCCACUGUCAGGGGCAAGGGGAAGGAGGUAAUUCUGGGUCAAGUGUGACUCAUCUCAGGCCCAUGGAGACAAGCCAGCUGGGGGGCCGGCAGAUCAGGAGGCCUGAGUCCCAGGUCAAGAUCUGGGGCCCAGGAGCAAUGAAAGUUAGAACUGGGAAGGAGGGGAAUCCAGGCAAAAGACCAGGCUCCCUUGGAGCUGUUCUAAAGAAGAGUUCAGCAUCAGAAGCAGUGUGGGAAGGGCUAAGGACGAGAGGCAGGGACUAGAUUUUUAAUUUUCCCUCUGCCAUAUCUGCUGGGUAGCCUUGUUUGGGAAUCCCCUUCCCCUUCCUUUAUCCAUUAUUUCUUCUCCAUUAGAAUGUAAGCUCCUUGAAGACAGAGACUGUUUAAUUUGUAUGUAUAUUCUCAGUAUUUUGCAUAAUGCUGGGUAUCUAAUAAAUGUUUAUCUAUCUAUCUAUCUACUUUCUUUCCU
This is a long non-coding RNA of Sarcophilus harrisii (Tasmanian devil), 1903 nucleotides long. RefSeq lists it as uncharacterized. The transcript has 3 exons. The record is from RefSeq and is a predicted model, not a curated record. Lineage: Eukaryota; Metazoa; Chordata; Mammalia; Dasyuromorphia; Dasyuridae.